AAACGCUCGGAAAUGCUAGACAGGCUUAACAAGACUUCGCAGUGAGUGAGAGUGAUUGUGCUGCUUUUAUGUGUGUGUAAAUGAGGUGCAGGUGUGGCAGGGUGAUUGUGAUGCAGUGACUCAUGGGGAAUGUAGUUCAGGUGUGGUGCAACAGUAUGAGAGGUGCUAGUGUCCAAGUGACAUCUGGUGGUUGAUGGGUGGAAUGGUCCUGAGUGGAGUGCCCUCUACUGAAGUUAAUGGGCACUCCAUCUAAUGAUCGUGACA
Molecule: long non-coding RNA, 264 nt
Organism: Carassius carassius (crucian carp)
Lineage: Eukaryota; Metazoa; Chordata; Actinopteri; Cypriniformes; Cyprinidae
Exons: 2
Source: RefSeq, a predicted model, not a curated record